This 900-nucleotide ribosomal RNA is filed under the name Lactifluus panuoides. RNAcentral describes it as "eukaryotic LSU rRNA". It matches the Rfam family "Eukaryotic large subunit ribosomal RNA", at positions 73 to 940 of the family's 3401-position model. The record is from RNAcentral. Lineage: Eukaryota; Fungi; Basidiomycota; Agaricomycetes; Russulales; Russulaceae.
ACCUUAAAUUAACAUGCGAGCCGCAAGCGGGAAUGCUCAAAUUUGAAAUCUGGCGGUCUUUGGCCGUCCGAGUUGUAAUUUAGAGAAGCGUCUUCCGCAUCGGGCCGUGCACAAGUCUCCUGGAAUGGAGUGUCACAGAGGGUGAGAAUCCCGUCUCUGGCAUGGACUUUCGAUGCUUCUGUGAUGCGCUCUCAAAGAGUCGAGUUGUUUGGGAAUGCAGCUCAAAAUGGGUGGUGAACUCCAUCUAAAGCUAAAUAUUGGCGAGAGACCGAUAGCGAACAAGUACCGUGAGGGAAAGAUGAAAAGCACUUUNGGAAAGAGAGUGAAACAGUACGUGAAAUUGUUGAAAGGGAAACGCUUGAAGUCAGUCACGUUGACCGAGACUCGGCCUUGCCUCGGCUUGGCGUACUUCUCGGCUGAUGGGCCAGCAUCAAUUUCGUCCUUCGGAUAAUGGCAAGGGAAAGGUGGCACCCUUAUGGGUGUGUUAUAGUCUCCUGUCGCAUGCGAGGGGUGGGAUUGAGGAUCUCAGCACGCACCUUUCGGUGUCGGGGCUUCGGCCCACGCUUACGUGCUUAGGAUGUUGGCGUAAUGGCUUUAAACGACCCGUCUUGAAACACGGACCAAGGAGUCUAACAUGCCCGCGAGUGUUCGGGUGGAAAACCCGUGCGCGAAAUGAAAGUGAAAGUUGGGACCUCCGUCGUGGAGCGCACCAAUGCCCGGACCAGACCUUCUGUGACGGAUCUGCGGUAGAGCGUGCAUGUUGGGACCCGAAAGAUGGUGAACUAUGCCCUGAAUAGGGUGAAGCCAGAGGAAACUUCUGGGUGGGAGGCCUCCGUAGCGAUUUCUGACGGUGCAAUUCGAUCGGUCCAAUUUGCGCCUAUAGGGGGCCGCAAAAGGAAC